AGCCAUGUCUUCCAGAGCAUUUGCAGCACAGCAUAGCCUUGGCUGGGCUCUUUGGGUCACCAGGAAGGCACAGAGGAAGUUGGGUAUCAGAAAGCAUCUGAGCUAUUCUCAUUUGUGCUCUGACUGAAUGACUUACCAGCUGGCUCCUGUACGUUUCUGGAGAAAGAUGGACCUGUCCUCAAGGACUAUUUGAAUUUCUCAAGAUGAAGUAACACAAGAAGACGUUAGAAGACAUAAAAAAAUACUUUUCAACAGGAAUCAUCUGGUGUCCUUCUGAAAUUUAGAAGAUUUGUUUUCCAUUCCUCUGUAAUUUACUCUUAAAGAAAACUUUUGAUGACAAACCUCCACCUUGUGAUUCCACUGUUUAAAAAAUAUUUUUUCCCCUUAAAGGGGAUGUUGCAUGAUAUUCCUUGAGUUGUAAUAGGUAAUGAGAUCCCAGAUCGCAUUGUCUUCUGUUUUGACGCAUAUACCUUAUUAAAUAGUUGCAUAUUCCGAAUGACCAGCAUCAGUCUCACAUCUUUUUGCUGACAGAUUUUUGCUUAAUAUAUGUCAAUAUGUGACUACCAUGUUUUCUAGAUACACUUCUGCAUUACAAUGAUUUAUUUGUUCAGACAUAUCUGAGCCUACAACACGGUAGGUCAGGAGCUUUGUUUUAAAUGUUCCUGGUGCUGGGAUUCAUGGUGACAUAUACAACUCAGUACCAUGUAUCCAGGGUUGUCUAGAAACAUCUAAAACUUACAGCUGCUUAGUUAUAGCAUACAAAUAAUUGUUACCACAUUGGACUUUUCAUUUUUCAUUUUGCAAAAAAUAAAUAAAUAAUUCAUAUUGUGU
This is a long non-coding RNA of Numida meleagris (helmeted guineafowl), 831 nucleotides long. RefSeq lists it as uncharacterized. The transcript is spliced from 3 exons. NCBI's taxonomy places the organism in Eukaryota, Metazoa, Chordata, Aves, Galliformes, Numididae. The record is from RefSeq and is a predicted model, not a curated record.